Molecule: long non-coding RNA, 85 nt
Organism: Varanus komodoensis (Komodo dragon)
Lineage: Eukaryota; Metazoa; Chordata; Lepidosauria; Squamata; Varanidae
Exons: 3
Source: RefSeq, a predicted model, not a curated record
GGCCUCCAGGGCCAUCCAGUCGGACCCCGGCUGCAGCCGGCUUCUCUCACGACACGCCCACCAUGUGCAUUGAAUGCAAGGCCCA